Molecule: ribosomal RNA, 468 nt
Filed under: uncultured bacterium
Lineage: Bacteria
Description: partial 16S ribosomal RNA
Rfam family: Bacterial small subunit ribosomal RNA
Source: RNAcentral
GACGAACGCUGGCGGCGUGCUUAACACAUGCAAGUCGAACGGAAAGGCCCUGCUUUUGUGGGGUGCUCGAGUGGCGAACGGGUGAGCAACACGUGAGUAACCUGCCCUUGACUUUGGGAUAACUUCAGGAAACUGGGGCUAAUACCGGAUAGGAGCUCCUGCUGCAUGGUGGGGGUUGGAAAGUUUCGGCGGUUGGGGAUGGACUCGCGGCUUAUCAGCUUGUUGGUGGGGUAGUGGCUUACCAAGGCUUUGACGGGUAGCCGGCCUGGGAGGGUGACCGGCCACAUUGGGACUGAGGUACGGCCCAGACUCCUACGGGAGGCAGCAGUGGGGAAUAUUGCACAAUGGGCGGAAGCCUGAUGCAGCAACGCCGCGUGCGGGAUGACGGCCUUCGGGUUGUAAACCGCUUUCGCCUGUGACGAAGCGUGAGUGACGGUAAUGGGUAAAGAAGCACCGGCUAACUACGUG